Molecule: transfer RNA, 84 nt
Filed under: Candidatus Cloacimonadota bacterium
Lineage: Bacteria; Pseudomonadati; Candidatus Cloacimonadota
Also listed under: 1 other name
Description: tRNA-Leu
Rfam family: tRNA
About the family: Transfer RNA (tRNA) molecules are approximately 80 nucleotides in length.
Source: RNAcentral
GCGAAAGUGGCGGAAUUGGCAGACGCGCUGGACUUAGGAUCCAGUGGGAGCAAUCCUGUAGGGGUUCGAGUCCCCUCUUUCGCA